CGGAAAUAAACACAAUUAUUCUAAAACCAGUUGUUUGCAUGAUAUAGGUUAUGUUCUCACAUAUUAUAUGAUGGUAUGAUACUAAACCCCUAACGGGAGGGUUUGUGCUUGAUUUUCAUAAGAUGAAGACAUAAUUUUCAAACAGUUUAAUUGAGAUCUGGAGCUCGCAUGUCAGUAAAGUUCUGCUAGUAAUCCUUUGUUAAUUUAUGUAUCAUUGUCAUUUUGCUUAUUUUCUGUCGUUACCUAUUCUGGCAUCGGACUCGGACUUCUUUAGACUUUACUCUAUUGCUGUGCGUUUGUAUAUUCUAUAUUUACUAGAGGUAUAGAGGAGCGUUUAGAUCUCACAAAACAUGUAUAAACCCCGACGCAUUUAUACGCCUGUCCUAAGUUCGCAGCCUCUCGCCUAUGUUAAUCUUGUAUAUUUUUUUUUAUUUUAGUUCGGCUGUUUUUUGCUCAAUGGUCACGUUGUUGCCCACAUACGUUAUGCGUUUUGUUCAUUGUUGAAGGCAUUUCUAAACAUGUAGCUGCUUAUAUUCCCGUCAUUUUCACUCUGCUGGUUAGUUGUCACACUGUCAAUUAACCUACAAUUUCUUAUUAAAUAAUUUCUGAUUUAAUAAUCGGAUAAUUCAAGAAAGGUAUUGUUUGUUAAACGUCAAUAUAUUAGUUGUUUUUGUUGGAAUUCAGUGUUCCUGUUGUUUUCC
This 701-nucleotide long non-coding RNA is filed under the name Mytilus galloprovincialis (Mediterranean mussel). Lineage: Eukaryota; Metazoa; Mollusca; Bivalvia; Mytilida; Mytilidae. The record is from RNAcentral.